Molecule: ribosomal RNA, 893 nt
Filed under: uncultured bacterium
Lineage: Bacteria
Description: bacterial SSU rRNA
Rfam family: Bacterial small subunit ribosomal RNA
Source: RNAcentral
CAGGACGAACGCUGGCGGCGUGCUUAAUGAAUGCGAGUCGAACGAGAACCAGUGGAGUGCUUGCACAAAGCUGGGGAAAGUGGCGAACGGGUGAGUAACACGUGGGUAACCUGCCCUGUAGACGGGCACAACAGCUGGAAACGGCUGCUAAUUCCCGAUAGUCUGUGGUAGCUCAAGCUGCCAUAGUAAAUGGUUAAUUCCGCUACAGGAUGGGCCCGCGGUCCAUUAGCUUGUUGGUGAGGUAACGGCUCACCAAGGCGACGAUGGAUAGCCGGUCUGAGAGGAUGAUCGGCCACACUGGGACUGAGACAUGGUCCAGACUCCUCCGGGAGUUAGCAUCAGGGAAUCUUGCGCAAUGGGCGAAAGCCUGACGCAGCGACGCCGCGUGAGGGAUGAAGGUCUGCGGAUCGUAAACCUCUGUAAGCAGGGACGAAUGCCCCAUUUUGUGGGGAGCGACGGUACCUGCAAAGUAAGCUCCGGCUAACUACGUGCCAGCAGCCGCGGUAAUACGUAGGGAGCCAGCGUUGUCCGGAUUUACUGGGCGUAAAGAGCGCGUAGGCGGUUUAGUAAGCGGAAGGUGAAAUCCCGGGGCUCAACUCCGGGGCUGCUCUCCGAACUGCUAGACUAGAGUACGGGAGAGGACAGUGGAAUUCCUGGUGUAGCGGUGGAAUGCGUAAAUAUCAGGAGGAACACCCGUGGCGAAGGCUGCUGUCUGGAACGUUACUGACGCUGAGGCGCGAAAGCUAGGGGAGCGAACGGGAUUAGAUACCCCGGUAGUCCUAGCUGUAAACGAUGGACACUAGGUGUUGGAGGCAUCGACCCCUUCAGUGCUGUUCUGCUAACGCGUUAAGUGUCCCGCCUGGGGAGUACGGCCGCAAGGUUGAAAACUCAAU